Molecule: ribosomal RNA, 1673 nt
Rfam family: Bacterial large subunit ribosomal RNA
GCUGGAGGUAUCAGAAGUGCGAAUGCUGACAUGAGUAACGAUAAAGGGAGUGAAAAACUCCCUCGCCGGAAGAUCAAGGGUUCCUGUCCAACGUUAAUCGGGGCAGGGUAAGUCGACCCCUAAGGCGAGGCCGAAAGGCGUAGUCGAUGGGAAACGGGUUAAUAUUCCCGUACUUCUUAUAAUUGCGAUGGAGGGACGGAGAAGGCUAGGUGAGCCUGGCGACGGUUGUCCAGGUCCAAGUAUGUAGGCUGAUGGUUUAGGCAAAUCCGGACCAUCUUAAGGCUGAGAUACGAUGUCGAGCUACUACGGUAGUGAAGUCAUUGAUGCCAUGCUUCCGGGAAAAGCUUCUAAGCUUCAGAUUAUAAGAAAUCGUACCCCAAACCGACACAGGUGAUCAGGUAGAGAAUACCAAGGCGCUUGAGAGAACUCGGGUGAAGGAACUAGGCAAAAUGGUACCGUAACUUCGGGAGAAGGUACGCUCCUAGCGGUGAUGAGACUUGCUCUCUAAGCUGCCGGGAGUCGCAGAUACCAGGUGGCUGCAACUGUUUAUUAAAAACACAGCACUGUGCAAAAUCGAAAGAUGACGUAUACGGUGUGACGCCUGCCCGGUGCCGGAAGGUUAAUUGAUGGGGUUAGACUUCGGUCGAAGCUCUUGAUCGAAGCCCCGGUAAACGGCGGCCGUAACUAUAACGGUCCUAAGGUAGCGAAAUUCCUUGUCGGGUAAGUUCCGACCUGCACGAAUGGCGUAAUGAUGGCCACGCUGUCUCCACCCGAGACUCAGUGAAAUUGAAAUCGCAGUGAAGAUGCUGUGUACCCGCGGCUAGACGGAAAGACCCCGUGAACCUUUACUAUAGCUUGGCACUGAACAUUGACCCUACAUGUGUAGGAUAGGUGGGAGACGUUGAAGCAACCGCGCCAGUGGUUGUGGAGUCAAUCUUGAAAUACCACCCUUGUAUGCUUGAUGUUCUAACGUCGACCCCUUAUCGGGGUUACGGACAGUGCCUGGUGGGUAGUUUGACUGGGGCGGUCUCCUCCCAAAGAGUAACGGAGGAGCACGAAGGUGGGCUAAUCACGGUCGGACAUCGUGAGGUUAGUGCAAUGGCAUAAGCCCGCUUGACUGCGAGAAUGACAAUUCGAGCAGGUGCGAAAGCAGGUCAUAGUGAUCCGGUGGUUCUGAAUGGAAGGGCCAUCGCUCAACGGAUAAAAGGUACUCCGGGGAUAACAGGCUGAUACCGCCCAAGAGUUCAUAUCGACGGCGGUGUUUGGCACCUCGAUGUCGGCUCAUCACAUCCUGGGGCUGAAGUCGGUCCCAAGGGUAUGGCUGUUCGCCAUUUAAAGUGGUACGCGAGCUGGGUUUAGAACGUCGUGAGACAGUUCGGUCCCUAUCUGCCGUGGGCGUUGGAUGAUUGAGAGGGGCUGCUCCUAGUACGAGAGGACCGGAGUGGACGAACCGCUGGUGUUCGGGUUGUAUCGCCAGAUGCAUUGCCCGGUAGCUAAGUUCGGAAUCGAUAACCGCUGAAAGCAUCUAAGCGGGAAGCGAGCCUCAAGAUGAGUCAUCCCUAGACCUUUAAGGUCUCUAAAGGGUUGUUGAAGACUACAACGUUGAUAGGUCAGGUGUGUAAGUGCUGUGAGGCAUUGAGCUAACUGAUACUAAUUGCCCGUGAGGCUUAACC